CGUUUGUCCAUUUAGAAACACGUAAAGCAUAGAAAUUGAGUACAUAGAGUGGGGUUGUAAUACAUAUUGGGUUGACAUAAAAUCAAAUGAUUUUUAAGAGACAUUUUGUUGUGGCGGUGAAGCCAAAUGUCAAAACAAAUCCGAGCGAUUUCAUAAAAAUAUUGUCUCGUUUGUCGCGAGGAGAACUCGCGAGACUUCUCCCAAGUCUCCUUGCAGCGCUGCAGCCAGCGCGAACCUGCAGAAGAGCAGAGGCGGAGCAAAGGCAUGGACCUCGUCUCUAAACCAGGAGGCAAAUCCAUCGUGUGGGUGUCCUUCGGUUUUAAAGCUGAUGAGAACGGACAGCCUUUGAACCCUGGACAAGCCGUUUGUCGUCUGUGUCGAAAAACCAUAUUGUCAAAAGGUGGAAGCACCACGAAUUUGAGAAAUCACCUGAAAGUUCGGCAUCGCGUAGAUUUACUUGAAGCUUCUUCGUCCACGACCCCCGAAUCCUUGUAUGAGACUCAAGCUUUCUGUUUGAAUCAUGAAGAAUUCUUGGACAAAGUUCCGCUUCUCCAGGAUUCUUCCAAUCAGAAUUACAUCCCAGAUGCGGCGCAGCCACCAGGGGAUCCGUGGCUGCAAGGUGGACCAUCCCGAGCUGUCCUGUCACUGCCUUUGUGCCUGCGCCUGUGUGGAAACAUCGACUCUGGAAUGUCCGAACCAUCCAGUGGAGAGUCAAUGGGGGAGAUGAAACUAUACGCCAAUUGUCACCUCCAGCAAGGCGUCACUUUUGGACCCUUUGUAGGAGAACUGUGCAGGGGACAGAUGCCAACCAAUCUCAAAUAUUCCUGGGCUGUAAGUAGACCACUUUGUGUAAACUCAGGUUUUUUUUUUACAAGUAAUCAGUAUGAACUGCAAAAUAUUAAUAUUGAACUGAUAGAAGAGCAGAUCAAAAUAUCGCUGACACACUUCUAUCUCUAGAUUAGAGAAGAUGCUGCUUUCAUCUAUGUUGAUGCUUCUGAUGAAAAUAAAUCCACCUGGAUGAGGUGGGUAGUUCA
Molecule: long non-coding RNA, 1034 nt
Filed under: Betta splendens (Siamese fighting fish)
Lineage: Eukaryota; Metazoa; Chordata; Actinopteri; Anabantiformes; Osphronemidae
Description: lncRNA (ENSBSLG00000018264.1)
Source: RNAcentral